RNAcentral lists this ribosomal RNA (467 nucleotides) under uncultured Alphaproteobacteria bacterium. Its description in RNAcentral is "bacterial SSU rRNA". It matches the Rfam family "Bacterial small subunit ribosomal RNA", at positions 9 to 524 of the family's 1533-position model. The record is from RNAcentral. Lineage: Bacteria; Pseudomonadati; Pseudomonadota; Alphaproteobacteria.
GAGUUUGAUCUUGGCUCAGAGCGAACGCUGGCGGCAGGCCUAAUACAUGCAAGUCGAACGCACCUUCGGGUGAGUGGCGGACGGGUGAGUAACGCGUGGGAACGUGCCCUUUGGUUCGGAAUAACUCAGGGAAACUUGAGCUAAUACCGGAUGUGCCCUUCGGGGGAAAGAUUUAUCGCCAUUGGAGCGGCCCGCGUUGGAUUAGCUAGUUGGUGGGGUAAAGGCUCACCAAGGCUCCGAUCCAUAGCUGGUCUGAGAGGAUGAUCAGCCACACUGGGACUGAGACACGGCCCAGACUCCUACGGGAGGCAGCAGUAGGGAAUCUUGCGCAACGGGGCGAAAGCCUGACGCAGCCAUGCCGCGUGAAUGAUGAAGGUCUUAGGAUUGUAAAAUUCUUUCACCGGGAAGAUAAUGACGGUACCCGGAGAAGAAGCCCCGGCUAACUUCGUGCCAGCCGCCGCAGUAAU